This 253-nucleotide ribosomal RNA is filed under the name uncultured bacterium. RNAcentral describes it as "partial 16S ribosomal RNA". It matches the Rfam family "Bacterial small subunit ribosomal RNA", at positions 524 to 776 of the family's 1533-position model. The record is from RNAcentral.
UACGGGGGGGGCAAGCGUUGUUCGGAAUUACUGGGCGUAAAGGGCGCGUAGGCGGCCUGCUAAGUCGGAUGUGAAAUCCCUCGGCUUAACCGGGGAACUGCAUCUGAUACUGGAUGGCUCGAGUUUGGGAGAGGGAUGCGGAAUUCCAGGUGUAGCGGUGAAAUGCGUAGAUAUCUGGAGGAACACCGGUGGCGAAGGCGGCAUCCUGGACCAACACUGACGCUGAUGAGCGAAAGCCAGGGGAGCAAACGGG